UACGAUCCAGGGGAACAAACUGUGCAGACAUCUCUAGCCUGCUGCUAUGCCUAUCUGCUUCAGUUGCAUCAGCUGCUGUUACAAGAGCCAGGGCUGGAAGAUUACCAAUGGGCUGGACCAGGAGUCCGAGGAAGAGCUUGGAAGCCCCUACUCCAAGGCAGAAGUUGUGCUGCUGAUUGCAGAUGGCCAGGGUGACCUGUCUUCUGUGGAUAUUUCUCUCAGUUCUGACUUUGGCUGAAUGUUCCAGAAAACAGAAGUAUUCAUCAGCCUCUUCAACUUCCAGGAGAAAUCUGAAAGGAGCGUUAAGAAGGUUCUUAAACAAGGAGUUUAUGGGAAUCUGUGACAGCUAUCAACAACAUCACACUCUCAGACGAAUAAUACUCUUCUCUCCAAUCUUUCUCAUCUUAUAGCAACAUAACAAUGACUGCUCUUUUCUUUUCUUAUAUAUCUCCUUUGGAAGAUCGGAUGCCCCAUGAUUAAAUGAAACAGCAU
This is a long non-coding RNA of Ornithorhynchus anatinus (platypus), 492 nucleotides long. RefSeq lists it as uncharacterized. The record is from RefSeq and is a predicted model, not a curated record. Lineage: Eukaryota; Metazoa; Chordata; Mammalia; Monotremata; Ornithorhynchidae. The transcript has 3 exons.